RNAcentral lists this ribosomal RNA (1372 nucleotides) under uncultured bacterium. Its description in RNAcentral is "bacterial SSU rRNA". It matches the Rfam family "Bacterial small subunit ribosomal RNA", at positions 28 to 1381 of the family's 1533-position model. The record is from RNAcentral.
GAUGAACGCUGGCGGCGUGCCUAAUACAUGCAAGUCGAGCGAACGGACGAGAAGCUUGCUUCUCUGAUGUUAGCGGCGGACGGGUGGGUAACACGUGGAUAACCUACCUAUAAGACUGGGAUAACUUCGGGAAACCGGAGCUAAUACCGGAUAAUAUUUUGAACCGCAUGGUUCAAAAGUGAAAGACGGUCUUGCUGUCACUUAUAGAUGGAUCCGCGCUGCAUUAGCUAGUUGGUAAGGUAACGGCUUACCAAGGCAACGAUGCAUAGCCGACCUGAGAGGGUGAUCGGCCACACUGGAACUGAGACACGGUCCAGACUCCUACGGGAGGCAGCAGUAGGGAAUCUUCCGCAAUGGGCGAAAGCCUGACGGAGCAACGCCGCGUGAGUGAUGAAGGUCUUCGGAUCGUAAAACUCUGUUAUUAGGGAAGAACAUAUGUGUAAGUAACUGUGCACAUCUUGACGGUACCUAAUCAGAAAGCCACGGCUAACUACGUGCCAGCAGCCGCGGUAAUACGUAGGUGGCAAGCGUUAUCCGGAAUUAUUGGGCGUAAAGCGCGCGUAGGCGGUUUUUUAAGUCUGAUGUGAAAGCCCACGGCUCAACCGUGGAGGGUCAUUGGAAACUGGAAAACUUGAGUGCAGAAGAGGAAAGUGGAAUUCCAUGUGUAGCGGUGAAAUGCGCAGAGAUAUGGAGGAACACCAGUGGCGAAGGCGACUUUCUGGUCUGUAACUGACGCUGAUGUGCGAAAGCGUGGGGAUCAAACAGGAUUAGAUACCCUGGUAGUCCACGCCGUAAACGAUGAGUGCUAAGUGUUAGGGGGUUUCCGCCCCUUAGUGCUGCAGCUAACGCAUUAAGCACUCCGCCUGGGGAGUACGACCGCAAGGUUGAAACUCAAAGGAAUUGACGGGGACCCGCACAAGCGGUGGAGCAUGUGGUUUAAUUCGAAGCAACGCGAAGAACCUUACCAAAUCUUGACAUCCUUUGACAACUCUAGAGAUAGAGCCUUCCCCUUCGGGGGACAAAGUGACAGGUGGUGCAUGGUUGUCGUCAGCUCGUGUCGUGAGAUGUUGGGUUAAGUCCCGCAACGAGCGCAACCCUUAAGCUUAGUUGCCAUCAUUAAGUUGGGCACUCUAAGUUGACUGCCGGUGACAAACCGGAGGAAGGUGGGGAUGACGUCAAAUCAUCAUGCCCCUUAUGAUUUGGGCUACACACGUGCUACAAUGGACAAUACAAAGGGCAGCGAAACCGCGAGGUCAAGCAAAUCCCAUAAAGUUGUUCUCAGUUCGGAUUGUAGUCUGCAACUCGACUACAUGAAGCUGGAAUCGCUAGUAAUCGUAGAUCAGCAUGCUACGGUGAAUACGUUCCCGGGUCU